GUGGAUGCAACAUUUUUAGUGGAUGGUUGUAGCAAAAAUCGACACCGGUUGUAGCAAAAAAUCGACACUAGUUGUAGCAAAAAAUCCGACAAACUCGGAUUGCAACUCUGACGAACGUGGAUGCAGCUUUUUUAGUGAACGGUUGUAGGCAAAAUUAACACCAGUUGUAGCAAAAAAUGACAUUGGUUGUAACAAAAAAA
This 200-nucleotide long non-coding RNA is filed under the name Hordeum vulgare. RNAcentral's name for it is "long non-coding RNA (HVUL_LNC018120)". Lineage: Eukaryota; Viridiplantae; Streptophyta; Magnoliopsida; Poales; Poaceae. The record is from RNAcentral.